This 1591-nucleotide long non-coding RNA is filed under the name Zonotrichia albicollis (white-throated sparrow). RNAcentral's name for it is "lncRNA (ENSZALG00000000675.1)". The record is from RNAcentral. Lineage: Eukaryota; Metazoa; Chordata; Aves; Passeriformes; Passerellidae.
CCCCAAUCCCUCACCCCACAGCCACAGAUCCAUCCCUCAGCCCACGGGUCCAUCCCUCACCCACAGCCACGGGUCCAUCCCUCAGCCCAUGGGUCCGGGGAUUUUAUCCCACAUCCCUCAGCCCACAGAUCCACGGAUCCAUCCCUCAGCCCACAGGUCCAUACCCAAACCAUGGAUCCAUCCCUCAGCCCACGGGUCCGGAGAUUUUAUCCCUCAUCCCUCACCCCACAGAUCCACGGAUCCAUCCCUCAGCCCACAGAUCCACAGAUCCAUCCCUCAGCCCACAGGUCCAUACCCAAACCAUGGAUCCAUCCCUCAGCCCACGGAUCCAUGGAUCCAUCCCUCAACCCACAGGUCCGGAGAUUUUAUCCCUCAUCCCUCACCCCAUAGAUCUGUGGAUCCAUGGAUCCAUCCCUCACCCUACAGAUCCAUCCCCAAUCCACGGAUCCAUCCCUCACCCCACAGCCACGGGUCCAUCUCUCAGCCCACGGGUCCGGGGAUUUUAUCCCUCAUCCCUCAGCCCACGGAUCCAUGGAUCCAAUCCAUGGAUCCAAUCCAUGGAUCCAUCCCUGAUGCCACAGAUCCAUGGAGCCACCCCACACACCACAGAUCCAUCCCUAAACCAUGGAUCCAUCCCUCACCCCACAGCCACAGGUCCGUGGAUCCAUUCCUAAUCCCUCACGCCAGAGCCACAGGUCCAUCCCUCAGCCCACGGGUCCGGGGGUUUUAUCCCUCAUCCCUCAGCCCACGGAUCCAUCCCCAAUCCAUGGAUCCAUCCCUCAGCCCACGGGUCAGGGGAUUUUAUCCCUCAUUCCUCACCCCAUUGAUUCAGGGAUUCAUCCCUCACCCCACAGCCACGGGUCCAUCCCUCAGCCCACGGGUCCGGGGGUUUUAUCCCCCAUCCCUCACCCCACAGAUCCAUCCCUCAACCCACGGGUCCAUCCCUCACCCCACAGCCACAGAUCCAGCCCUCAGCCCAUGGGUCCGGGGAUUUUAUCUCUCAUCCCUCACCCCACAGAUCCACGGAUCCAUCCCUCAGCCCACAGGUCCAUACCCAAUCCAUGGAUCCAUCCCUCAGCCCACAGAGCCACGGAUCCAUGGAUCCAUCCCUCACCCACAGCCACAGAUCCAUCCCUCAGCCCACAGGUCCAUACCCAAACCAUGGAUCCAUCCCUCAGCCCACGGGGCCGGGGGUUUUAUCCCACAUCCCUCAGCCCACGGAUCCAUCCCCAAUCCAUGGAUCCAUCCCUCAGCCCACAGAGCCGUGGGUUCAUCCCACAUCCCACAGCCAUGGGUCCACGGACCCACAGACCCAUGGAUUUUAUCCGUCAUGCCUCACCCCACAGCCACGGAUCCAUCCCCCAUCCCUCACCCCACAGAUCUGUGGAUCCAUGGAUCCAUCCCUGAUCCCUCACCCCAUAGCCACGGGUCCAUCCCUCAGCCCACGGGUCAGGGGAUUUUAUUCCUCAUUCGUCACCCCACAGAUCCGUGGAUCCAUCACUAAUCCCUCAUCCCACAGCCACAGAUCCAUCCCUCAGCCCACGGGUCCGGGGAUUUCAUCCCUCAUUCCUCACCCCAUUGAUUCAGGGAU